UCCUACGUAGCUUAAGUUUAAAGCAUUGGUCUUGUAAACCAAAAAUGAGUCUUUUUCUCCAAGGAC
Molecule: transfer RNA, 66 nt
Filed under: Takydromus tachydromoides
Lineage: Eukaryota; Metazoa; Chordata; Lepidosauria; Squamata; Lacertidae
Description: tRNA-Thr
Source: RNAcentral